This 86-nucleotide transfer RNA is filed under the name Planctomycetota bacterium. RNAcentral describes it as "Planctomycetes bacterium tRNA-Leu". It matches the Rfam family "tRNA". Rfam says of the family: Transfer RNA (tRNA) molecules are approximately 80 nucleotides in length. Their secondary structure includes four short double-helical elements and three loops (D, anti-codon, and T loops). Lineage: Bacteria; Pseudomonadati; Planctomycetota. The record is from RNAcentral.
GCGGAAGUGGCGGAACUGGCAGACGCGCAGGAUUUAGGUUCCUGUGCCUUCACGGCGUGGGGGUUCGAGUCCCCCCUUCCGCACCA